GUAGGUGGCAAGCGUUGUCCGGAAUUAUUGGGGCGUAAAGCGCGCGCAGGCGGUUCUUUAAGUCUGAUGUGAAAGCCCACGGGCUCAACCGUGGAGGGUCAUUGGAAACUGGAGAACUUGAGUACAGAAGAGGAAAGCGGAAUUCCACGUGUAGCGGUGAAAUGCGUAGAGAUGUGGAGGAACACCAGUGGCGAAGGCGGCUUUCUGGUCUGUAACUGACGCUGAGGCGCGAAAGCGUGGGGAGCAAACAGGAUUAGAUACCCUGGUAGUCCACGCCGUAAACGAUGAGUGCUAAGUGUUAGGGGGGUUUCCGCCCCUUAGUGCUGCAGCUAACGCAUUAAGCACUCCGCCUGGGGAGUACGGCCGCAAAGGCUGA
This 376-nucleotide ribosomal RNA is filed under the name uncultured organism. Its description in RNAcentral is "partial 16S ribosomal RNA". It matches the Rfam family "Bacterial small subunit ribosomal RNA", at positions 527 to 897 of the family's 1533-position model. The record is from RNAcentral.